AACGGUCUAUACCUGCGGUACCUGCGGAAGGAUCAUUACUGAGUGAGGGCCCUCUGGGUCCAACCUCCCACCCGUGUUUAACGAACCUUGUUGCUUCGGCGGGCCCGCCUCACGGCCGCCGGGGGGCAUCCGCCCCCGGGCCCGCGCCCGCCGAAGACACCUGUGAACUCUGUCUGAAGUUGCAGUCUGAGAAACUAUUUAAAUUAGUUAAAACUUUCAACAAUGGAUCUCUAGAUCGGA
This 240-nucleotide unclassified non-coding RNA is filed under the name soil metagenome. RNAcentral's name for it is "partial contains 5.8S ribosomal RNA, internal transcribed spacer 2, and large subunit ribosomal RNA". The record is from RNAcentral.